UUUUCUUUUCAUUUUAGCUUCCCCAAUUUGAAUUUCAGUAAAGCACUCUCUCCUCUCUCUUUCUCUCCCACUUCAACCGGUGUCUCUCUCGCCUCCACCACUCUUUCAACCUCCAUGCAUCCCUCAACCUCAUCGUCACCGCUGCUAGCAUACCUAACUUAGACCCAUUAGCAAAAUUGAAGAAAAAACAUCAACUCACCAUUUGAAGCCAAACCCACACGCCUCGUAGAGCGCUUUUUAGACAUAGAUUAGAGAGCAAGGUUGGGUUUUGGAGAGAAUUGGGUGUAGAGAAGUUGAUGAAGCUCUGUCUUCACGGAAAUGGCAUAGCCACUAGCCCGAAUCUUCGGUUCCAACGAUACUAGCCUUUUUCUCAUCGAAAAUCCCUAAAAUCCCCGCUGGUACAGUUAUCGCCAGUGCCGACUAGAUUUAUCUGCGAUUCCUAGACUGCUUCCUACAUUGGACUUCGCAAGGAGGUUGAAUGGCAUGAUUAUAGGUAUGCUAUUCUUCUUUUGAUCACUGAGAGUGAGAAAAGGCGAGUGCUGGAGGGAUUAGUGAAGACCAUGAAGCUGGCUUUGUUCAUGAUUUUUUUUUUUUGAAGAAAUUAUUCAUGAAAUUUUAGAUAUAAAGAACAUGACUCAUAUCUAUUUUAGUUGGGAUCAUAAUCAAGAUGUAGCUAUUUUGGCUUUCUUGAAACACUGAAAUCACAUAUUUAUAUUGUGAAGCUAAUUUAGCUAAGCUAUAAAGCCUUUUUGUUUUGGGUUU
Long non-coding RNA from Quercus robur (English oak), 762 nucleotides. RefSeq lists it as uncharacterized. The transcript is spliced from 2 exons. The record is from RefSeq and is a predicted model, not a curated record. NCBI's taxonomy places the organism in Eukaryota, Viridiplantae, Streptophyta, Magnoliopsida, Fagales, Fagaceae.